RNAcentral lists this ribosomal RNA (250 nucleotides) under uncultured prokaryote. RNAcentral's name for it is "partial 16S ribosomal RNA". It matches the Rfam family "Bacterial small subunit ribosomal RNA", at positions 524 to 773 of the family's 1533-position model. The record is from RNAcentral.
UACGUAGGGGGCAAGCGUUAUCCGGAUUUACUGGGUGUAAAGGGUGCGUAGACAGUUAGACAUGUCUGAAGUGAAAUGCAUGGGCUCAACUCAUGAACUGCUUUGGAAACUGCCAAACUAGAGUACAGGAGGGGUAAGCGGAAUUCCUGGUGUAGCGGUGAAAUGCUUAGAUAUCAGGAGGAACACCGGCGGCGAAGGCGGCUUACUGGACUGUAACUGACGUUGAGGCACGAAAGCGUAGGGAGCAAAC